Molecule: ribosomal RNA, 492 nt
Filed under: uncultured bacterium
Lineage: Bacteria
Description: partial 16S ribosomal RNA
Rfam family: Bacterial small subunit ribosomal RNA
Source: RNAcentral
AGUGAACGCUGGCGGUAGGCCUAACACAUGCAAGUCGAACGGCAGCACAGUAAGAGCUUGCUCUUACGGGUGGCGAGUGGCGGACGGGUGAGGAAUACAUCGGAAUCUACUUUUUCGUGGGGGAUAACGUAGGGAAACUUACGCUAAUACCGCAUACGACCUACGGGUGAAAGCAGGGGAUCUUCGGACCUUGCGCGAUUGAAUGAGCCGAUGUCGGAUUAGCUAGUUGGCGGGGUAAAGGCCCACCAAGGCGACGAUCCGUAGCUGGUCUGAGAGGAUGGUCAGCCACACUGGAACUGAGACACGGUCCAGACUCCUACGGGAGGCAGCAGUGGGGAAUAUUGGACAAAGGGCGCAAGCCUGAUCCAGCCAUACCGCGUGGGUGAAGAAGGCCUUCGGGUUGUAAAGCCCUUUUGUUGGGAAAGAAAAGCAGCUGGUUAAUACCCCGCUGUUCUGACGGUACCCAAAGAAUAAGCACCGGCUAACUUCGUG